Lolium perenne is the source of this 1084-nucleotide non-coding RNA. The record is from RefSeq and is a predicted model, not a curated record. NCBI's taxonomy places the organism in Eukaryota, Viridiplantae, Streptophyta, Magnoliopsida, Poales, Poaceae.
UCCCUCCGCCGCCACUCUCUUCUUCCUCCUUUACUCUUCCUCUCGGUCUCCACACGAUGGCCUCCGUCACCCCGCGUGAGCUUCGCCUCCCUGCAGCGCGUCCGCGCAUCUCCAAGCUCUACGACCGCCGGCGUCCGCUCGACCAAGAUCUUCCCGAUGUCCUCAACCACGCGCACGCAUCCUGCACGUCGUCCCAGUCCUAUCGCCUCGACGAGCUCUCCAUCGAGCGCCCCUGCACGUCCGUCUCCUGCAUCUCACCUCUCCAAGCCUUGGCGAAGCGCACGCGCGCGUUCUGCAUCAUCACCUCCAUGCAGUAGCGCAGCUCGCCGUGUCCCCGCCUAACUCGAGCGCGUCUUCGUCGCCGUCGCGCACCGGCCGCUCCAAGCUGCAAGUUCAUCGCUUUCUCCACGUCAUCAUCCUGCGCGCGCACUGCCAGCGCCGUCCCCUUCCGCAUGCGCGCUCCCGCCGUCCCUGUACGUCGCCAAGGUCGCGGCGUGCAACUCCGACAACCGCGCAUGCUCGCCGACGUACCCAAGCAUCUCCGGCUGCAGCAGCUCGUCGACGAGGCCCCAGGCCCCAGCAUCUUCACCUUCAUCCCCGUGCUCGAUCGGUGCUCCGCCCCCAUGCCCAGCAAGCCCGUCGGUCGGCCGUCAUGUUCUUCUCCGUGGGCUGCUGGUCUUCCUUCUCUAUCCGUCCUCCGUCGCGAACACCCGUAACGUGACCUUGCAGAUCGAUCCCGGGCGGACGCAACUUGUCCAGCUGAAACCGGCUUCGUCAAAUCGUCUCCGUCCUCGUCGUUCAAAACCAUGCGCGCCAAACUCGCCUCGGCAUCGUCUUAUGCGCGCCCAAACUGACUCCAGCCUGCCGGCCCCGGAUGAUCUCGGCGCUCCUUCCAUCGUCAGCUACCGCGUGUACCGGCAGUGAAGUCGCUGCCUUGGUUCAUUUGGUUCUAUACUCCCAGGACAACGUCAACUGAAGGCAAGCUAGCUGGCUCGUUCCAUGUAUUCUAUCGAUCAGAUCUUGUGCUCAAAUCCUUUGGCAGCCCAAUAUAAUAAUCAACCUUCUUGGUCGUUUGCCAUGUGUA